Molecule: ribosomal RNA, 499 nt
Filed under: uncultured bacterium
Lineage: Bacteria
Description: partial 16S ribosomal RNA
Rfam family: Bacterial small subunit ribosomal RNA
Source: RNAcentral
GAUGAACGCUGGCGGCGUGCCUAAUACAUGCAAGUCGAGCGAACAGACGAGAGUGCUUGCACUCUCUGACGUUAGCGGCGGACGGGUGAGUAACACGUGGGUAACCUACCUAUAAGACUGGGAUAACUUCGGGAAACCGGAGCUAAUACCGGAUAAUAUUUAGCUUCGCAUGAAGCAAUAGUGAAAGACGGUUCUGCUGUCACUUAUAGAUGGACCCGCGGUGUAUUAGCUAGUUGGUGAGGUAACGGCUCACCAAGGCAACGAUACAUAGCCGACCUGAGAGGGUGAUCGGCCACACUGGGACUGAGACACGGCCCAGACUCCUACGGGAGGCAGCAGUAGGGGAUCUUCCGCAAUGGACGAAAGUCUGACGGAGCAAUGCCGCGUGAGUGAAGAAGGUUUUCGGAUCGUAAAACUCUGUUGUAAGGGAAGAACAAGUACGUUAGUAACUGAACGUACCUUGACGGUACCUUACCAGAAAGCCACGGCUAACUACGUG